Molecule: ribosomal RNA, 497 nt
Filed under: uncultured bacterium
Lineage: Bacteria
Description: partial 16S ribosomal RNA
Rfam family: Bacterial small subunit ribosomal RNA
Source: RNAcentral
UAUGAACGCUGGCGGCGUGCCUAAUACAUGCAAGUCGAGCGAACAGACGAGGAGCUUGCUCCUCUGACGUUAGCGGCGGACGGGUGAGUAACACGUGGAUAACCUACCUAUAAGACUGGGAUAACUUCGGGAAACCGGAGCUAAUACCGGAUAAUAUAUUGAACCGCAUGGUUCAAUAGUGAAAGACGGUUUUGCUGUCACUUAUAGAUGGAUCCGCGCCGCAUUAGCUAGUUGGUAAGGUAACGGCUUACCAAGGCAACGAUGCGUAGCCGACCUGAGAGGGUGAUCGGACACACUGGAACUGAGACACGGUCCAGACUCCUACGGGAGGCAGCAGUAGGGAAUCUUCCGCAAUGGGCGAAAGCUUGACGGAGCAACGCCGCGUGAGUGAUGAAGGUCUUCGGAUCGUAAAACUCUGUUAUUAGGGAAGAACAAAUGUGUAAGUAACUAUGCACGUCUUGACGGUACCUAAUCAGAAAGCCACGGCUAACUACGUG